RNAcentral lists this unclassified non-coding RNA (370 nucleotides) under Hevea brasiliensis (rubber tree). The record is from RNAcentral. Lineage: Eukaryota; Viridiplantae; Streptophyta; Magnoliopsida; Malpighiales; Euphorbiaceae.
CUGCUGAAGAGAAGUACUAUACUUAUGCAACAAAUUCAUGUGAGGUGGGUCAAAUGUGUGGGCACUACACUCAAAUUGUAUGGAAGACUACUAGGAGAAUUGGGUGUGCUCGUUCUGUUUGUGAUGAUGGAGAUGUGUUUAUGACUUGUAAUUAUGAUCCUCCAGGUAAUUACGUUGGUGAAAGGCCAUAUUGAAAGGUAGUAUAAUUAGAGUUAAUUGAUUAGGUGGUGUUUUUGGGCGUGAAGUUAGUUACUAGUGUUAUUGAACAAAUAUAAAUGCAUAUGUAGGAUAGGAUUAGGAAGAAAUUAAUGGGAGAAGAUUUGUCAUAAUUAAUGUUUGUGGUUGCUUAAAAUAGACCUAUGGAUCUUAU